This 21-nucleotide non-coding RNA is filed under the name Caenorhabditis elegans. The record is from RNAcentral. Lineage: Eukaryota; Metazoa; Nematoda; Chromadorea; Rhabditida; Rhabditidae.
UUCUAGGGUGUGUUAAAAAAU